Molecule: RNase P RNA, 402 nt
Filed under: Paraurantiacibacter namhicola
Lineage: Bacteria; Pseudomonadati; Pseudomonadota; Alphaproteobacteria; Sphingomonadales; Erythrobacteraceae
Description: Altererythrobacter namhicola Bacterial RNase P class A
Rfam family: Bacterial RNase P class A
About the family: Ribonuclease P (RNase P) is a ubiquitous endoribonuclease, found in archaea, bacteria and eukarya as well as chloroplasts and mitochondria. Its best characterised activity is the generation of mature 5'-ends of tRNAs by cleaving the 5'-leader elements of precursor-tRNAs.
Source: Rfam by way of RNAcentral
UCGGGGAGCCGGGCAGCCGCGUGCCUUCGGGCGCGAGGAAAGUCCGGGCUCCACGAAACAAGGGUGGCGGGUAACGCCCGCCCGCAACGGGUCCGCCCGGUGCGAGGGAAAGUGCAACAGAGAGUAGACCGCCUCUCUUGAGAGGUAAGGCUGAAAGGGUGCGGUAAGAGCGCACCGGGGCGCCGGUAACGGGGCCCGCAUGGUAAACCCCACCCGGAGCAAGGCCAAAUAGGGGCCUCGCGCCAGCUUGCUGGCAGGGAUGUUUCGUCCCGAGAGGCCCGGGUUGGCUGCUUGAGCGGCGGAGCAAUCCGUCGCCCAGAUGAAUGGUUGCCGCCGCGGAUACGGUCCGGUUUCGGAUACCGUCCGUGGACACAGAACCCGGCUUACAGGCUCCCCGACGCU